RNAcentral lists this ribosomal RNA (255 nucleotides) under uncultured bacterium. RNAcentral describes it as "partial 16S ribosomal RNA". It matches the Rfam family "Bacterial small subunit ribosomal RNA", at positions 524 to 776 of the family's 1533-position model. The record is from RNAcentral.
UACGGAGGGGGCUAGCGUUGUUCGGAAUUACUGGGCGUAAAGCGCGCGUAGGCGGCUUGACAAGUUGGAGGUGAAAGCCCGGAGCUCAACGUUCGGAAUUGCCUUCAAGACUGUCUCGCUCGAGGCAGGGAGAGGAGAGCGGAAUGACCCAGUGUAGAGGUGAAAUUCGUAGAUAUUGGGUGGAACACCGGUGGCGAAGGCGGCUCUCUGGCCCUGAUCUGACGCUAAGGCGCGAAAGCGUGGGGAGCAAACAGG